CCUACGGGCGGCAGCAGUGGGGAAUAUUGGGCAAUGGGCGCAAGCCUGACCCAGCAACGCCGCGUGAAGGAAGAAGGCUUUCGGGUCGUAAACUUCUUUUGACAGGGAAGAGUAGAAGACGGUACCUGUCGAAUAAUCCACGGCUAACUCCGUGCCAGCAGCCGCGGUAAUACGGAGGAUCCGAGCGUUAUCCGGAUUUACUGGGUGUAAAGGGAGCGUAGGCGGCGAUGCAAGUCAGAAGUGAAAGCCCGGGGCUCAACUCCGGGACUGCUUUUGAAACUGUAUGGCUAGAUUGCAGGAGAGGCAAGUGGAAUUCCUAGUGUAGCGGUGAAAUGCGUAGAUAUUAGGAGGAACACCAGUGGCGAAGGUGGCUUGCUGGACUGUAAAUGACGCUGAGGCUCGAAAGCGUGGGGAGCAAACAGGAUUAGAUACCCCAGUAGUC
This 442-nucleotide ribosomal RNA is filed under the name uncultured bacterium. RNAcentral describes it as "partial 16S ribosomal RNA". It matches the Rfam family "Bacterial small subunit ribosomal RNA", at positions 338 to 795 of the family's 1533-position model. The record is from RNAcentral.